GGAAGUAAAAGUCGUAACAAGGUUUCCGUAGGUGAACCUGCGGAAGGAUCAUUGUCGUGACCCUUAAACAAAGCGGACCGUGAACAAGUCUCCCUUGCCGUCGGGCUUUGGCCCGGCUAUGGCCCCCGAGCUUCGGUGGAGGGGCCGCAAAAGAACCCACGGCGCCUUAGGCGUCAAGGAACACUUAUGUUGCCUUGCUUGGUGGAGUGCUUGGCUUGCCUUUCGCUCCCCAGCAGUAGCAAUGUUAUCUUAAUCCACACGACUCUCGGCAACGGAUAUCUCGGCUCUCGCAUCGAUGAAGAACGUAGCAAAAUGCGAUACCUGGUGUGAAUUGCAGAAUCCCGCGAACCAUCGAGUUUUUGAACGCAAGUUGCGCCCGAGGCCUUUUGGUUGAGGGCACGUCUGCCUGGGCGUCACGCCAAAAGACACUCCUUACCAAAACAUUGGAGGGAUGUGGUGUUUGGCUCCCCGUUCCGCAAGGUACGGUGGGCCGAAGUUGGGGCUGCCGGCAAACCGUGUCGGGCACAGCACGUGGUGGGCGACAUUUAGUUGUUCUUGGUGCAGCGCCCUGACACGUGACUGGCUUGUUGGCCCUGAGGACCCAUUGAGCACCGUAGCGCAUGACGCAUCGGACCGCGACCCCAGGUCAGUCGGGACUACCCGCUGAGUUUAAGCAUAUCAAUAAGCGGAGGA
Molecule: ribosomal RNA, 693 nt
Filed under: Chrysopogon tenuiculmis
Lineage: Eukaryota; Viridiplantae; Streptophyta; Magnoliopsida; Poales; Poaceae
Description: eukaryotic LSU rRNA
Rfam family: 5.8S ribosomal RNA (bases 261-416)
Source: RNAcentral